UCCCAAACAUGCAAUAUUUCUGCUCCAACACAUAAUUGCAUUUGUAAAACAUGAUUAGCAUUCAAGGUGAAAAAUUGCCAGGAUGUUUUUUGUCUUCUAUUUUGUCAGUAUGGUGCACAAGAGUGGUAGACCUAAAAUUCCCAAAAUUAGACAGGGAAAUGAAAUGUUUGCUGCAUGCCAGCUAGAAUAGUAGUGGAAAGAGAUGAGUCUGUAGACUGCCUGCCCGCCUGCCUGCCUGAUAUGAUGGUGAGAGAGAUGGGUGGUAGCACCGUUGAAGUCAUUUUUGUAGUGGAGUCAUUUUUGGGUGGUAUGUUCAGCAAGCAAUAAACUGACACGCGGCCUGUAGUGUUCUGCACGCCGAAAUCAGAAGCACACACUGUUUCUGGUAAGAGUUGGCCCAUGAAGCGAGAAACGAUUUUAUUCAUGGUUGAUAGACACUUUGAGUAACUGUCUGAGACAUCUUCACUGCGGAGGCCUAACCCUAAUGAGCUAUUGCAAUAUAUUAUGCAGUACCCUAAUUGUUCAUUACUAAAUUCUAACUGCUUGAAUUCUGAUUUUCAUAUACAUCUUAAUAUUUCAGUGGAGUUUCCUACAUUGCAGGGUGAUAUGGAUGAUGGAAAAGAGGCCAGCAGUGCUGGGCUAAACAAUUCAGGGAGGUAUUGGAUUGGCCUCUGUAGAAACUAUGGUAAAGGCACCUAAUCUUGGGCCCCUAGAAGAAGGAAACUCAACAUGCAUGGUUCUCAUUAGAGGCAACCAGACCGUUGUUGAAAAUAUUGAUGAUUCCUGUUGUGUAUUCUCAAGGAAUGGUCAGGUUUAGUACUGACCGUUGCGGUGCGUAGAAGAAAGGUGCUACUUUCACUUAGUUCUCUCAGUUCUAAGUUGGGACUGCAAAAAUUUGAGGAUUUCCCCACAUAGACCUGAAGUUUCUGCUUCUAGCAUUUCUCGUUUGUAAGCAGCAUGGCAAACCCGGUUUCAAAGUAAAGACCUGAGGAAGAAUGUGGAUUGAUCACUGUGAUUUCAAGUCCUUCAGGUGAUUGAUCACUGUGGUAAUUCAUUCUUUUGUCAAAAUUUGAUUACAAUUGGGGUUGGAGGGAAGCAACAAAAUUCCUAUCCUGUAAUAGACGUUUUUGGUGUGUGACUUGAUAGUUGUUCACGUCGAUACAAAAUUUCAUUCAUGUGGUUUUUUAAGGCAUUUGAAUUUAACAUUGUUUUUAUGUUUGUCUAAGAGCUGGAGCUGUUAAGACUUGAGACAGAUAUAUACAGGUAACAGGGGCCUAUAAGAUCCAAUUCAUGUUUGACAGUUCGUCAAAAUAAACAAGUAGUAUUGAUGGGUAAAGAAGAAAUUGAGGCACAUCAAUCAAACGCCAACCCACCAGCUAUUGGCACUAAAUGAGGAAGGAAAAGAACAUUGUCCCUGAAGGCUCGAGACACACAAACAGGAAACUGAGUUUGGCAAAGGUGGUUGUCUCCUUGACGCACACCAUGGUGCCCUUGUCUACUCUCUGUCUUCUUCCUUGCACAGACACCUUAUUUACUAGUAGUAGGUUCUCUCAUAGCAUUUUUCGGUGGAGUUGUACUGGCAUCUUUGACUGAAGUUUCUUUCAACUGGGACAAAACAUGACAAGAAAGGGAAGAACUAACCUACAUGGAGCUUGGUCAAGGUCGCCGCUCAUGUUUGAUGGCAUUAUUUCUGGUUCCACCGACGUUGUCGAUGCUUGUUACCUAUGGCCCCUUUGCCGCUUUCCUCGGUCGGGCGUGGUCCAUCAGCCACUGCAUGCAGACAAUAGAAUUUAGGCCAGCAAUUGUCGCUUAUCUACGCUACAGACCGACCCAUAGACAGGGAAAGGAAGCGAUGGUUGGUGGGGAGAGGAGCCGGGGGACGUGUUGUGACGGGACAAGAGGCGCAGUGGCAGGGAGAGAAGGUGAAGACUACGCCAUGAUGGUUACAAGUCAACGAAGAUUUUUUUACUAUAAUUGCUCAAGUACUGUGCGAAGGAAGCUGAAGACAAUAUUCCUGAUAUUUUAGGAGAUGUAAGUGAAGUGGAAUAACGAAAAUACAUUGCAUCAAGUACAUUUUUCAAUUGUUACUGUAAAUUUUUUCUAUACAUGUGAAAUUGGAAGUGCAUAGCUUAUGUAUGCAAUCAGAAAAAAAUUUAAAAGGCCCGUGGCAACGCACGGGCAUUGUACUAGUGGUACUAAUCUAUGAUACUAUGCACUAUAGAGAUAGUAAUAUAGACUAAUAAUAUAUGCAUGUUACUAGUCUAAGUUACUUCCCACUAUGACCAGCCUGAGGAGGCAACCUUUGG
Molecule: non-coding RNA, 2306 nt
Organism: Aegilops tauschii subsp. strangulata
Lineage: Eukaryota; Viridiplantae; Streptophyta; Magnoliopsida; Poales; Poaceae
Source: RefSeq, a predicted model, not a curated record